Molecule: long non-coding RNA, 1042 nt
Organism: Oncorhynchus tshawytscha (Chinook salmon)
Lineage: Eukaryota; Metazoa; Chordata; Actinopteri; Salmoniformes; Salmonidae
Source: Ensembl
GUUCUGUGUUGGUUGUUGCUCAGAGACAGGUUUUGUAAAGGAUUUUGUAGCUGGUCCUGCUAAGAGGGGAAGGCACCUUGGGAGUGUUUAGGCAGGAGGCCUGCGGGCAUGCAUAUACCUGUCGUAUGUACUCGAGUCUAUGCACACUUGCCCCUUUUCCCCAAAUUACCGUGUGAAGGAAGAAUAAAUUCCCUGUUAACGACUGUUACCAUGGCCACCAUGACCCUAUCACUGCUUCUCCCCGCUGUUCUGCUCGGAACACUUGACAGUGAUGCCAGACGCCCUGUGAGAUUGCUGGAGAUGUUGCGGGGGGCGUAACUUGAUUGGAGACUUCACACUGCAGUGUGACAACCAGGGACAAUACACCCCUCAGCAGUGGCUGGGCUCUGCAGUUUACCACACACACAUGGACAUAUGCUGGACAUGUAACAAUCUAUUAACAUUUCAUGUGUGAUUAUUGUAUUUCCAACUUUUAUUUUUUUUAAACAUUUCUGGUAAGUUUCUGUUGUGUGGACAGACGAUCCCUGGUACUGAGUCCACCAGACACUGCUCACAUUGUGAGAGGACAGGUUAUGAUCAUAGAUGCCAGGCACACCGGUUUGAGUGUGUCAAGAACUGCAACGCUGCUGGGUUUAUCACAACAGUUUCCCGUGGGUACCAAAGGACAUCCGUAGAACUUGACACAACUGUGGGAAGCAUUGGCGUCAACAUGGGCCAGCAUCCCUGCGGAACACUUUCCACACCUUGUAGAGUCCACGCCCCGAUGAAUUGAGGUUGUUCUGAAGACCAAAAAGGGGGUGCAACUCAAUAUUAGGAAGGUGUUCUUAAUGUUUUGUCUGUCAUUGUAUGCAUAUUUCUAUUUUUAAGAAAGCAAAAAUGGCAAAUAAUUGCAUCUUGUUAUAGUCACCAGUUAUUUUUUUUAAAAUGUGUCCCAUCACCCAUUUGCACAAAAUACUAGGCCUGCUUGCAAUGCAAUACUUCAACCAUAAGGAAUUGUGCAUACGCAUGGUCUAACGUUUGCAGAAAGCUAAGAACAUUCUCA